Molecule: ribosomal RNA, 446 nt
Filed under: uncultured bacterium
Lineage: Bacteria
Description: partial 16S ribosomal RNA
Rfam family: Bacterial small subunit ribosomal RNA
Source: RNAcentral
GUAGGGAAUAUUGGACAAUGGGGGGAACCCUGAUCCAGCCAUGCCGCGUGGAGGAAGACUGCCCUCUGGGUUGUAAACUCCUUUUAUAUGGGAAGAACCGUCCUCAUUAAUGAGUGACCUGACGGUACCAUAGGAAUAAGCACCGGCUAACUCCGUGCCAGCAGCCGCGGUAAUACGGAGGGUGCAAGCGUUAUCCGGAUUCACUGGGUUUAAAGGGUGCGUAGGCGGAUAAAUAAGUCAGUGGUGAAAUCAACGGGCUCAACCUGUUAACUGCCAUUGAUACUGUGUAGCUUGAAGAUGAGAGAGGUAGGCGGAAUGUUGCAUGUAGCGGUGAAAUGCUUAGAUAUGCUACGGAACACCGAUUGCGAAGGCAGCUUACUAUUUCGUAAUUGACGCUGAGGCACGAAAGCGUGGGUAGCGAACAGGAUUAGAAACCCCGGUAGUCC